Long non-coding RNA from Equus caballus (horse), 1624 nucleotides. RefSeq lists it as uncharacterized. The record is from RefSeq and is a predicted model, not a curated record. NCBI's taxonomy places the organism in Eukaryota, Metazoa, Chordata, Mammalia, Perissodactyla, Equidae.
AAAAUAAGCAAAUAAUUAAUGAACCUCUUUUUUAAAGUACUUUGGCAUUCGCUAAGUAAGCCUCAGGGUUUUCAGAAGAUAUUCAUGGCCACUGCACUGCGUAUUACAAAGCAUGCCCGAGCAGACAGACCUAAUGCUCCAAGGCUGAGGUUCAGACUUCUGUGAAGGUAUGGCUGCCACAAGCACAUGCAGUCUGCCAGUGCCAAAGAAACAUGCCUCAGGAUCAAAGCUAGUUCACAGAAGCUGUUUGCCGUUGCUAGAAGAUGUGGGCAAGGUGGAGCUGGCCUACGAAAGCAAAACGCCGGGUAGGGAAACAGUUGCCAGAGGUUGCAUCCUGAACGACUGUGGAAAUGGCCAUUGUGCAGAACAAGCAUGGCCUGAGACUGUGGCUAGAGACGGCCAUGUGGGAUGCUGGGCGCCUACCCUACAUAAUCACAUGAGGACCUGAAACUGGAAGGGAAGUGCCUUUCUUCUGCUGUCACCUUGUGGCGCCUCUCCAGCUCCCUCUAUUGACAAACCUAACAUUGUGCCAGCUGGUAAAGUACUACUUUUUAGAAGGGCUAGGGCCAGUAACACAGAGUACUUCCAUGAAGGGAGAUUUAGAGCUGAGAGACAAUAAAUGUAUUGAUAACAAACAGAGCAGUGAAUAGAGUUCUCAGCUGAACCUGUGCUUGAAUCUGAAAGGCAACCAGUAAAUCUGUCUCUUGUUUGCCGACCCUUUCUAGAAACCUCCCCUUUCAAGGACAUAGGCUUGGCCACAAACAGCUAGGGAAAGCUAACUCCUUCUGGACUCAACUCUAGCGCUGGUGGGGGAGGGAUUUGAUGCUGUUUUCCCCGACAACCACUUGUUGUAUCUGUCAGUUGUGCAUGGCCCAGGCCAUGGCCUGUGAGUGUCAGAUCAGGGUCAGCUCAUGCAGCAAGCCCAAGUCUGGCCCUCUGGCCCCUCUAUCCCCUUCAACCCAGAAACUGCAGGUAAGGACACCUGUUAUGUGCAAAAGGGCAUCAGGUCCUCGUGGAGUGCCUUCUGCAGCCUCAGCAUCCAUCCUGUCACUCUCUAAAGCAUCUGUCACUUUGAAGGCCUCCUUUGCAACUGUGGCCCUUCCUCUGGAAACAGGGAUGCAAGAGCUGCUCCAGGGCUCCCAGUUAUUUGGGCAGAGGAAGAGGGAAGGCUCUCAGGACCUCCAUCAGGGACUCCCAGACAGGGCCAGCCAUGCUUGCAGAGUUUGUAGAGGACAGCUAGACCUGGUCUUAGCUCCACACUCCAAGGACUACAUCCAGGGAUCUGGUAUUGUGUACUUGUGGUGCUGGAAGUUUCCAAGCCCCACUUUCCAGAUGGGAGGACAGAGCCAGAGAAGUAAGACUGUAUCUUAGGGCCACACAUAUUUCUGAGCUCCUUAGAGCUCCUCCUGCUCUGUGAUGAUAGCUGCCCUUCCAAUAGGAGCUGAGCUGAGCCUGUUAGGAAGACUCCAGUCUUUGGCAUCAUCAGAUCUGACAUUGGACCCCAGUUCUACCCCCUUGCUAGCUACAAGAACUUGUUUAAAUUACUUAACCUCCUAGCCUCAAAUUCCUCAUGGAUUUAUUUAUUGCUAAGGAUUAAAUAAAACAAUCUGUGUAAAAUCCCUAA